CAGCCGCCGCGGUAAUACGAAGGGGGCUAGCGUUGUUCGGAUUUACUGGGCGUAAAGCGCACGUAGGCGGACUUUUAAGUCAGGGGUGAAAUCCCGGGGCUCAACCCCGGAACUGCCUUUGAUACUGGGAGUCUUGAGUUCGAGAGAGGCGAGUGGAAUUGCGAGUGUAGAGGUGAAAUUCGUAGAUAUUCGCAGGAACACCAGUGGCGAAGGCGGCUCACUGGCUCGAUACUGACGCUGAGGUGCGAAAGCGUGGGGAGCAAACAGGAUUAGAUACCCCAGUAGUCCCUGUCUCUUAUAC
Molecule: ribosomal RNA, 301 nt
Filed under: uncultured bacterium
Lineage: Bacteria
Description: partial 16S ribosomal RNA
Rfam family: Bacterial small subunit ribosomal RNA
Source: RNAcentral